This is a non-coding RNA of Microcebus murinus (gray mouse lemur), 1488 nucleotides long. NCBI's taxonomy places the organism in Eukaryota, Metazoa, Chordata, Mammalia, Primates, Cheirogaleidae. The record is from RefSeq and is a predicted model, not a curated record.
AGCGAUCCUCCUGCCUCAGCCUCCUAAGUAGCUGGGACCACAGAUCCACAGCCAACGACCCAACCUGCCCAUCCUCUGGUUUCUGCUCCUACGCCCACACUGAUCAGCACAGCUGGAAAAAUGAUUCAGCAGGGUGUCCUAGUAUCACGUCAUGCUCCUCACCUAUGAAGUAAAGAAAACGACAGUAUUCACAUGACUACUAGAAGGAUUAAAUGAGAUAAUGCCACAAAACGCUUAAUGUAAUAUUUGGCGAAUAGUAGCAGCUCAAUAAAUUUAGCUAUUUUUAUUAUUAUUUUUAUUUCCAACCUCAGCUGGACUCUUGCGCUAUUUAAUCUUUCACUUGUUUGUGGUGAGCUCGUUCCCAUUUCCUCCAGCGAUCCUUCCGCUUCUUCAACAGGUUCUUGCGUCUCCUGUCCCUCUCUGCUAUGAUUUGAAUAUCAUUGUCCCCAAAUUCAUAUGUGCUGUACCUGUGAAAGUGACUGUUUUGGAGAGAACGUUUUUGAAUUAAGUUAGAAUAAGGUCAGUAGGGUGACUGGUGUCCUUAUAAAAUGGAAAAAUUUAGAAAUAGACACAAAUAUAAGGAAGUUUAGAGACCCAGGGAGAAGACGCCAUCUACAAGCCUUGCAGCAAGCCUAGAACCGACCCUUCCCUCACAGCCCCGAGAAGAAACCAACUCUGCCAAGAGCUCGACUUUGGACUUCUAGCUUCUGGAACUGGAACACAGCAGGCCGUCCAACCCUGCUUCUCUCCUUCGACUUCUAAGCCCCGCAUGCCGUGGUUAUACAGCUGAAGGAGCUUAUUUUGCAGAAGAUUUAUGGAUCCUCUGGGAGUCAUCUGCUUUGACAGAACCCUUUGUGGAAUGAGGCAGGGAGCUUGGUUAAGCAGUUGAGGAAGAAGGACUGUGUUUUAUCAAACCCUGUUUGUUGAAAGCAGAAAACAGCUCAACGCCCAACAGUAGCAACGAGAUUUGGCUUCUGACCCGCCAAUUACUAGCCCAGUGAACUUGAGCAAGAAACCUGAUUCUUUGGGGCUCAGCUUUUCUCUCAAGGGUACGUGAGGAUCAGAUUAAAGUGCAUGAGAAAGGACUUCAUAGCUAUUAAACGGAUAUAUGCGUGUAACUUGUCAUCUUCUAUAUUUACCAUUCUUCAUGCUUAAAAAUGCCAAUGUUCAAAAUAAUUUCCAAUAGGCCAUUUGAACCCCGAUGACAUAUUCAUCCCUUCUCAUCCUGGUUCCAUUCUUUAAACAGAGGUUCAUUGAGACCCAGGCACUGAGCUAGGCACUGGGGUUGUAGAGGUGUGGAAACAGAGUUGGCCUCUGCCAGUAGGGAGCUCACAGCCCCAGGAAUUGUUGCAAGUCACAGCUCAAAGAGAAAGGGAGGCAACGUUGGGGCCCACCACUGGUUUUUGAUGCCAUGCUUUGGUUUAGGGAUUUUGAAUCUUCUGCAUUUAAGUGAGGUCAAACUCAUCAACUAGGAAUUGGAUACCUAGU